UACGAAGGGUGCGAGCGUUACUCGGAAUCACUGGGCGUAAAGAGCGUGUAGGCGGGUUAUUAAGUCAGAUGUGAAAGCCAAUGGCUCAACCAUUGAACUGCAUUUGAAACUGAUAACCUAGAGUAUGGGAGAGGUAGAUGGAAUUUCUGGUGUAGGGGUAAAAUCCGUAGAGAUCAGAAGGAAUACCGAUUGCGAAGGCGAUCUACUGGAACAUUACUGACGCUGAGACGCGAAAGCGUGGGGAGCAAACAGG
This 253-nucleotide ribosomal RNA is filed under the name uncultured bacterium. RNAcentral's name for it is "partial 16S ribosomal RNA". It matches the Rfam family "Bacterial small subunit ribosomal RNA", at positions 524 to 776 of the family's 1533-position model. The record is from RNAcentral.